AGUGAACGCUGGCGGUAGGCCUAACACAUGCCAGUCGAACGGCAGCACAGUAAGAGCUUGCUCUUACGGGUGGCGAGUGGCGGACGGGUGAGGAAUACAUCGGAAUCUACUUUUUCGUGGGGGAUAACGUAGGGAAACUUACGCUAAUACCGCAUACGACCUACGGGUGAAAGCAGGGGAUCUUCGGACCUUGCGCGAUUGAAUGAGCCGAUGUCGGAUUAGCUAGUUGGCGGGGUAAAGGCCCACCAAGGCGACGAUCCGUAGCUGGUCUGAGAGGAUGGUCCGCCACACUGGAACUGAGCCACGGUCCAGACUCCUACGGGAGGCAGCAGUGGGGAAUAUUGGACAAUGGGCGCAAGCCUGAUCCAGCCAUACCGCGUGGGUGAAGAAGGCCUUCGGGUUGUAAAGCCCUUUUGUUGGGAAAGAAAAGCAGCAGGUUAAUACCCCGCUGUUCUGACGGUACCCAAAGAAUAAGCACCGGCUAACUUCGUG
Molecule: ribosomal RNA, 492 nt
Filed under: uncultured bacterium
Lineage: Bacteria
Description: partial 16S ribosomal RNA
Rfam family: Bacterial small subunit ribosomal RNA
Source: RNAcentral